UGGGGAAUUUUGGACAAUGGGCGAAAGCCUGAUCCAGCAAUGCCGCGUGUGUGAAGAGGGCCUUCGGGUUGUAAAGCACUUUUGUCCGGAAAGAAAUCCUUGGCUCUAAUACAGUCGGGGGAUGACGGUACCGGAAGAAUAAGCACCGGCUAACUACGUGCCAGCAGCCGCGGUAAUACGUAGGGUGCAAGCGUUAAUCGGAAUUACUGGCGUAAAGCGUGCGCAGGCGGUUUGCUAAGACCGAUGUGAAAUCCCCGGGCUCAACCUGGGAACUGCAUUGGUGACUGGCAGGCUAGAGUAUGGCAGAGGGGGGUAGAAUUCCACGUGUAGCAGUGAAAUGCGUAGAGAUGUGGAGGAAUACCGAUGGCGAAAGGCAGCCCCCUGGGCCAAAUACUGACGCUCAUGCACGAAAGCGUGGGGAGCAAAACAGGAUUAGAUACCCUGGUAGUCCACGCCCUAAAACGAUGUCAACUAGUUGUU
Molecule: ribosomal RNA, 480 nt
Filed under: uncultured bacterium
Lineage: Bacteria
Description: partial 16S ribosomal RNA
Rfam family: Bacterial small subunit ribosomal RNA
Source: RNAcentral